UCGAACGCCAAAGCGGGGGCAACUCCGCAAGUAGCGUGGCGCAAGGGUGAGUAAUGCUUGGAUGACCUACCCUCGAGACGGGGAUAACGGUCCGAAAGGAUCGCUAAUACCCGAUGGUCCCAGUCGGAUGCGUCCGGCAGGGUAAACGGUUGAUUCCGCUCGAUGAGGGUUCCAAGUCCUAUCAGCUAGUUGGCGGGGUAACGGCCCACCAAGGCUAUGACGGGUAGGCGGACUGAGAGGUCGACCGCCCACAUCGGGACUGAGAUACUGCCCGGACUCCUACGGGAGGCUGCAGUCGAGAAUCUUCUGCAAUGGGCGCAAGCCUGACAGAGCGACGCCGCGUGGAGGAUGAAGGCCUUCGGGUUGUAAACUCCUGUCACACGUUAUGAAAUGUACGGGUUACACCCGUGCACUGACAAAGGCGUGGGAGGAAGUCACGGCUAACUUCGUGCCAGCAGCCGCGGUAAGACGAAGGUGGCUAGCGUUAUUCGGAUUCACUGGGCAUAAAGCGCGCGUAGGCGGCUCUUCAAGUCGGGGGUGAAAGCCUGCAGCUCAACUGCGGAACUGCCUUCGAUACUGUCGAGCUUGAGUGCAGGAGGGGUGAUCGGAACUCCAGGUGUAGCGGUGAAAUGCGUAGAUAUCUGGAGGAACACCGGAGGCGAAGGCGGAUCACUGGACUGUCACUGACGCUGAGGCGCGA
RNAcentral lists this ribosomal RNA (700 nucleotides) under uncultured bacterium. Its description in RNAcentral is "bacterial SSU rRNA". It matches the Rfam family "Bacterial small subunit ribosomal RNA", at positions 62 to 756 of the family's 1533-position model. The record is from RNAcentral.